Molecule: long non-coding RNA, 115 nt
Filed under: Apteryx rowi (Okarito brown kiwi)
Lineage: Eukaryota; Metazoa; Chordata; Aves; Apterygiformes; Apterygidae
Description: lncRNA (ENSARWG00000004185.1)
Source: RNAcentral
ACAUUGAAGCAAUGUUCUAUUAUAGUUGUGUGUGUACGUGYGAGAGGAAAGAGGGUCCAAAGAAGAAGUAACAUCCUUGGGUCCCGUUUCUGGUUGUUAGCAUGUAGCCAGACAG